This 890-nucleotide long non-coding RNA is filed under the name Salmo salar (Atlantic salmon). RNAcentral describes it as "lncRNA (ENSSSAG00000092336.1, ENSSSAG00000115273.1)". Lineage: Eukaryota; Metazoa; Chordata; Actinopteri; Salmoniformes; Salmonidae. The record is from RNAcentral.
UUUUAUGGUCAAUGAUGUUGCUGGCUCGUCAAGGGAGGGAACAGCUAAAAAGGUCCUUAGUCGAUGGAGGGGGACUACUGGUCCUGUUGUGGACCGUGGCCGGCCAGCCACCCAGCAGCCAGGUGGUCAACUGCACAGUUGCAGGACCCUGGUGCUCAGGAGUUCCAGUGGAAGAAGUCCAACCAGUGGGAAGGCAGAGAGACUCGCCCUGAAGGACCAGACUGUGACCAUGGACGUUCCUCCUUCUAUCAUGCGGCCUCCCAUGUCAUUGGGAGCAGGCCCGUGGUGCCAGCGAGGCCAUCCUGUGUUAGGAGAUCCCCUCUGCAGUGACACUGUGUACUGUAUAGACAGAGCACAGUGUCAGGAACCUGAGCCAGAAUGGAUCCCCGCUGUGGAUCAGGCCCUCUCUCUGUUCCUGUUCCUCCAGCACAGUGACCAAUUCCUCUCCCAGCUCUCUGACUUCAUGGGCGGACACACUCACCGGCAGCAGACCUUCCAAGAACUAUGCAAGUGGGAAGGAAAUCUGAACAUGUUGACAUUUCCGUUUUCUUGUAUAAUAACAGUGUCACGACUUCCGCCGAAGUCAGUCCCUCUCGUUUGGGCGGCGUUCGGUGGUCGACGUCACCGGCUUUCUAGCCAUCGCCGAUCCACUUUUCAUUUUCCAUUUGUUUUCUCUUUGUCUUACACACCUGGUUUCAAUUCCCCAAUUACUUGCUCAUUAUUUAACCCUCUGUUCCCCCAUGUUUGUUUGUUAGUAAUUGUUUAUUGUAUUGCGGUCCGUAUGUGUGGCCUUGUAUUUAUACGACGUGUAUUGUGAAUUAUUUGACUAAAUUGCUUUCAAUACUCAUAUCUGCUGUCCUGCGCCUGACUCAUCUCACCAGCUACACACA